GAGGAAUAUUGGUCAAUGGGCGAGAGCCUGAACCAGCCAAGUAGCGUGCAGGAUGACGGCCCUCCGGGUUGUAAACUGCUUUUAGUUGGGAAUAAAAAAGGGACUUGUCCCUUCUUGUAUGUACCUUCAGAAAAAGGACCGGCUAAUUCCGUGCCAGCAGCCGCGGUAAUACGGAAGGUCCAGGCGUUAUCCGGAUUUAUUGGGUUUAAAGGGAGCGUAGGCGGAUUGUUAAGUCAGCGGUUAAAGGGUGUGGCUCAACCAUGCAUUGCCGUUGAAACUGGUGAUCUUGAGUGCAGACAGGGAUGCCGGAAUUCGUGGUGUAGCGGUGAAAUGCUUAGAUAUCACGAAGAACUCCGAUCGCGAAGGCAGGUGUCCGGGCUGCAACUGACGCUGAGGCUCGAAAGUGUGGGUAUCAAACAGGAUUAGAUACCCUGGUAGUCCACACAGUAAACGAUGUAUACUCGCGGUUUGCGAUAGACAGUAAGCCGCCAAGCGAAAGCAUUAAGUAUACCACCUGGGGAGUACGCCGGCAACGGUG
Molecule: ribosomal RNA, 538 nt
Filed under: uncultured bacterium
Lineage: Bacteria
Description: bacterial SSU rRNA
Rfam family: Bacterial small subunit ribosomal RNA
Source: RNAcentral